GAAGGUCUAGUGCUUUAUCGGUGA
RNAcentral lists this non-coding RNA (24 nucleotides) under Arabidopsis thaliana (thale cress). The record is from RNAcentral. Lineage: Eukaryota; Viridiplantae; Streptophyta; Magnoliopsida; Brassicales; Brassicaceae.